CCUGAAUCCUCCUACGUCACCAACAGCAGCCUACCUAAAACCUGGAGGGGCACAAAACAUAAAACGUCAGUGGGCAAAAACAACUGUUUUACAAAACCACUUCAUUUCUCAAAAGUUCUAACCCCUCGCCGUAAAACAUGUAUAAUUUUCCCAGAAAUAGAAUAUAAACAUAUGCAUAAAUAUAUAUGUAAAUAUCUCAAUUCAAAUCAUGCUUCACAUAUUCAUAACCGUAAGUAUGCUAUGCCAAGAUAUAACAGAAUAAGUAAUUCAGGUGAUAAUAAAUUCAUGGAAAAUAACAUAUUAGCCGGAACCCCUGUAGAAGUCUGUACGGCUGAAUUCAUAACUCAUUAGUCAAUCUAGCCGGAGUCACUAUAAUGACCUAUAUAGCACUACACUGCAUAUAAGUCGGAACCACUAAAAAAGGUCUGUACGACAAGACUGGGUGUAAUAUAGUUAUGCUCAAUACUACGCUCUCAUGAUAGUUGGGUGAUAAAUCUCUAGUCACCUACGAGUCGAAACCACCUCUAAUGGUCUGUACGACAGGACUGUGCACCUAAAUUGGAUCCAAUGUGAGCAUAUGGUGCGGGAGGUGGCAUUAUAAAUAGGCAUGUGACAUAUAUCUGGCUAAAUCACAAUCACCCUAGGUGCAGGUUUAUGAGCUUAACUUUUCUCAAUCACAACUUUAAUCACAUUCACAAUUUAUAACUCACCUGGGCUUACCUGAGCAUCCACAGCACCACGAUUAUAUAUAUUAUGCUUCAUAUACUAAUUAACAUAUGAAAUAUAAAUUUAUAUGCAUGGCAUUCAAGGCAUACUUUCAUUUAAACACAUUUUCUGGGAAAAUAUCAAGUAUAAGUAUUUACUGAAAACCAAAAGCCCACUCACUGGUAUGUCAAAGGGUCGUAGCCCCCGAGUCGCCCUUGACUGCGCUCGUCCUCUGGAUAAGCCUCCCCUAUAUGCGAAAUAACUAUAAAAACGUUAUUUAAAGCACAUAGACAAAACUAGCUAAUAACAUCUCAUACAAUGCUCAAAUGGGGUGUUUGAAUAUACCAACGUGAUCUACGCAACUCCACGAACAUCCCCAUAUUUUUAGAAUAAUUUUCCGACCACCCACGCGCCGCCACGUGCUGGCCAAGGCACGGCCAGACGCGCCGCCCACGCGCGGGCACAUGCUUGGCACACUGACAGUGGCAAUAACGGCGUUAGGGAAUAUUCCUUUAAAAUCUGGAAUAUUCCGUCUAAAACCUGACGGUGUUACCUUACGCCGUUAGCAUAUUCCAUCAAAACUGGCGGAAUAUGCUCCUUCUUCCCUGACGAGUCACUGGACGCCGGCGACUAAUCACCGGUUUCUGGAAAAGCUUCUAACCCUAAUUUCUACCUCACUUUGGCACCAAACUUUAUGAAAUUUGAACCAUUUUGAAGAUCUCAUCAAGACGAACAAAACCAUACCUUUUACGAGCCCUAAAACCCAUGGGAUUCGCCGGAAAACUCCUCGAUAUUCCGGCCAAACCUGUAACUCGUCGAAUCUCACUAUUCCGACGUCCAAAAUCUUCCAACGAACCACUUCUAGCCUCGUGAGGACCUCUUUAAGCUACCUAUAAACUUGAAAUCACCAAAAACAUGAGAUUUUACGUUUGCAUGAAUAGUACCUCAUAUCGAAGGUUAUGGUUUCUUGGGUUUUUCAAGGUCCCAAGUCCUAAAAAUGGUAUUUAUGAACUCAGGGGCUUGCAAAGAGUUUGAAUCUUACCUUCUUGACGUCAAUCCGUGCAUGAAAUGCGAGUUUGGCGUUCAUUCGUACGUUAGGGAAGGAGAGAGAGUGAGUCCGAGGGAGAGAGAGCACGGGAGAGAAGUGAGAGGAAGAGUUUGUGUGUGUGUGAGUGGUCCACGUGGUCACCAACCAAAACCACAAAACCAAUUUCAAACUUUGUUCCAAAAAUUAAGGAAAAUGCAAGUUUGGACCACCAUUUACAUGCAUAACACACCACAACGCUCACAUCCAAGGGUAAAAUAGUCAAUUCACGUCAUCGAUAAUUUAUUUCGGGACGGGCUGUGACAAUCUACCCACCUUAUAAAAUUUCAUCCUCGAAAUUACACGCAACCAAUACAUCCACUAAUAGUCAUAAAACAAGCGUGGAUACAUCUCUCUCAUUCGAUCCUCUGUCUCCCAGGUAGCUUCUUCUACUGAGUGAUUUCUCCAUAAUACUUUCACCAAAUGACUGUCUUAUUCCUCAGCUCCUUAUCUUUCCAAUCCAAAAUAGUCACUGGUUCCUCGUCAUAAGUCAAAUCCAAAUUAAAAUCCAAAUUAAUUUCCAAAGGUUGAGGAGGAAUCACAUGUGAAGGAUCUGAGACAUAAUGUCGAAGCAUCGAAACAUGAAACACAUCGUGUACCUUGGACAACUCUGAAGGCAACUCAAGCCUGUAAGCAACCUCACCGACUUGCUCGGUGAUCAUAUAUGGUCCAAUGUACCUAAGAUUCAACUUGUCUUUCUUUCCAAAUCGUACAACACCUUUCCAAGGUGAUAGCUUCAAAAAUACCCAAUCACCUACAUUAUACCUCCGGUCAGUGACAUGCUUGUCUGCUAAGCUCUUUUGUCGAUCCUGGGCCGCUUUCAGGUUAGACUUAAUUACCUGAACAUUUUGAGUAGUCUUGUCCACAAUAUCAGGGCCCACUAAAACUCUUUCGCCAACCUCUGACCAACAUAGAGGCUUACGACAAGAUUUCCUAUAAAGUGCUUCAAAUGGUGCCAUACCAAUGCUCGAAUGGUAACUGUUGUUGUAGGCGAACUCCAUCAAAUCCAAACAAUCAUGCCAACCAUCGCCAAACUGAAGUACUGAAGAUCUCAGCAUAUCCUCUGUCUGAAUGGUCCUCUCAGAUUGCCUAUCUGUCUGAGGAUGAUAUGUUGUACUAUAAAGUAAUCUCAUAUCAAGAGCCUCCUGAAAUGCUACCCAUAACUUGGAAGUAAAUCUAAGGUCCCGAUCCGAGAUAAUAUUAACUGGAACACCAUGGUACUUCACAAUCUUCGAUAUGAAUAACUUAGCUAAUCGGGUUAAUGAAUAUUUCUCCCUCACUGGAAUAAAAUAUGCUGACUUAGUAAGCCGAUCAACUAUCACCCAAAUGCCGUCAUAACCAUUAUGUGUACGAGGAAGCUUGUACACAAAAUCCAUAGUAAUAUUUUCCCACUUCCACUGUGGAAUGGGAAGCGGCUGCAUCAAUCCAAACAGCUUCUUCCUUUCAGCUUUAACCUAUUGGCAAAUGGCACACCUACUCACAUAUUCGGCAAUUUCUCUUUUCAUACCCGGCCAAUAAUAAAAUGGUCGAAUGGUAUGAUACAUCUUGGUGCCUCCUGGAUGCAUUACAUAUGCUGAAAUAUGUACUUCAUCAAGGAUUUCUUUCUUUAACUCUGCGUUAUUCGGCACAUACAUUCUGCUCUCCUGCAUAAGCAUACCAUCAGUUUCUCGAAUCCUGAAAUCUUUCUUCUUCCCUUGAUUCCUGGCUUGAAUUAUUUCCUGGGCCUCUUCAUCAUUCAUUUGGGCCUCGAGCACACGAUCAAUUAAAAUUGGCCUAACUUGAAAAUUUGCAAGCAAGGCUUCCUCUCAAUCUUCCACUCCUAACUCCACUCUAGUGGACCUCAAAUCCGCAAGAAGAGGAACAUGACAAUCAUAGAUGGCAUUAAGUCUAGCUGGAGUAUUCCUACUAAGUGCAUCUGCCACUGCAUUUGGACGACCAGGGUGAUACUCAAUCGUGCAAUCAUAAUCACUAAGUAACUCUAUCCACCUCCGCUGCCGAAGAUUAAGAUCCCUUUGAGUAAAAAGAUACUGAAGACUCUUAUGAUCUGUGAAGAUCUUACAUUUCUCACCGUAAAGAUAAUGUCUCCAAAUCUUCAACACAAAGAUGAUAGCUGCUAACUCCAAAUCAUGAGUAGGGUAGUUUUUCUCACGAAGUUUCAAUUGUCUCGAAGCAUAAGCAAUCACCCUACCAUGUUGCAUCAAUACACAACCCAGACCAUUUAAAGAAGCAUCGCUGUAAACCUCAAAAUUACCACUAUCAUCUGGGAGUGCUAACAUAAGUGCAUGAGUGAGAUAAUAUUUCAACUGCUGAAAACUUUACUCACAAUUAUCAUCCCAUACAAACUUAACAUCCUUCCGGGUCAACCUCGUCAAUGGCAAAGCAAUCACUAAAAAAUCCUUAACGAACCGUCUAUAAUAGCCUACUAGGCCAAGAAAACUUCGUACCUCGGUGACGGUUAGAGGUUGCUCCCAAUUCUCCACAGUUGCCACUUUUUGAGAAUCCACUUGAAUGCCUUGAGCAGAAAUGACAUGUCCCAAAAAUGCCACUUGAUCCAACCAAAAUUGACAUUUGCUAAACUUCGCAUAUAAUUGGUGUUCUCUCAAACUUUUCAACACCAAUUUAAGAUGUCUAGCAUGCUCAACCUUAGACUUAGAGUAUACCAGAAUAUCGUCAAUGAAGACAAUAACAAACCUGUCCAAAUAUGGCUGGAAUACUCGAUUCAUCAAAUCCAUAAAAGCUGCUGGUGCAUUAGUUAAUCCGAAUGGCAUCACGAAACUCAUAAUGACCAUAUCGAGUCCUGAAUGCAGUCUCAGGGACAUCUUCAUUUCUAAUCUUCAACUGGUAGUAACCCGAUCGCAAAUCAAUCUUAGAAAAUACACAGGCACCUCGGAGUUGAUCAAAUAAAUCAUCUAUACGAGGCAAUGGAUAACGGUUUUUAAUUGUUACCCUAUUUAAUUGCCUAUAAUUAAUGCAUAACCUCAAGGUUCCGUCUUUCUUCCUCACAAAUAAAACUGGAGCUCCCUAAGGUGAAGUACUAGGCUGAAUAAAACCUUUAUCCACUAGUUCUUGCAAUUAAACUUUCAAUUCCCUUAAUUCAGCAGAAGCCAUUCUAUAAGGAGUCAAAGAUGUAGGAUUCGUACCUAGAAGUAGAUCAAUAACGAACUCCACAUCUCUAUCUAGCGGUAAUCCAGGCAAAUCCUCAGGGAAUACAUCCAGAAAAUACCUAACCACACGUACAUCCUCCACACUACUAGGAGCAUCAUCAUUCAACACCACAUGAGCCAAAUAUCCCUGACAACCUUUCGACAACAAUCUUUUGGUUUUCAUGGCAGAAAUAACACCAUGCUUCACCCCACUAGGCUCUCCUACAAAUGUAACUUCAGGUUAUCCAGGACAAUGAAAUGUGAUUGUCUUUGCAUAACAACCUAUCUUGGCACGAUUAUAGUGCAACCAAUCAGUGCCCAAAAUCACAUCAAAAUCCAUAAUAUCCAACGGCAUAAGAUUAGAUGGCAUAACAACUUCCUCCACCAUCACUGGACAUCCUGGAUAUACCCGAUCCACAAAACAUUUAUCCCCUCUGGGCAUAGAAAAUUCAAAAUUAUAUCCUCAAAGUGUAGGAUGAGGUUGCAUCACUUGAGCAAAUGUAUGAGAAAUAACAGAAUGUGUAAUACCACAAUCAAUCAAUACUCUGGCAAAAUGACCAAGAAUAUUUAACGUACCCAUGAUUAAAUCACGAUUGUUUUGAGCAUCUUGCAUUGUCAUGUUAUGGAUACGUCCCUAAUUCUGCUAUCAUCCACCACAACCUCUGUUAGCAUGAACACCACGUCCUUGCCUUGGCUGACCAGACUUCCUCGAAGAUCCUACACUGCUAGCAGCAAUCUCUACCUGCUGGGGCUAUCUCCCUUGAUACCACUGGGAUCCUCCGGCUGAAUGUGGCUGAUAGGGCAUAGAACCUCCCUGAUACUGAGGGUAACCACCCUGAUAAUGAGGAUCCUGAGAGUACUGAUACUGUCCUGAAGUAUAAGGAGCGACGUUGCCCUGAUAAUGAUAAGCAUCUCCUCGUCCAGUCUGGGCAUAACUACUAGAUCCUAAAGCUUGUUGGUUCGACACAGGUGGUGGUAAAGAAGGUUGUUGGGGCCUCUGCUGAUUCUGCAAGCAAUGAGCAGCUCUAUGCCCCAUUUGUCCAUAAGUAUAACAUGCAUUGCUGCCUCUUUUACACUCCCCAUAGUGCCUAUUAUUACACUUGCGGCAUAAAGGAGCACCUGAUCCACCUGAACCAGCAAAAUCUCUCUGCCUCUAAAAUCUCUGGCCUCCAGAAAAUCUACCACCUCUCAUCUGUAGAUUAGAGCUCAAACCUCCAUUAGAAAAGCUGGAACUGCCACCGCUUCUCUUAAAACUCUGGGUCUUACGAGGUCCCUGAAAUGAUUGACCUUUACCUUUAUCAUCUCGUCUCUGGUUCCCGUUCUUUUCUUCUUCAUCUUCACUUUCACUUGGCAUGUUCUCUGAGUCCUCAAUCCUCAGUAAAACUUCAUAAAACUCCUGGUAAGUGACACAGGGAGUCGAUGUCGCUAUAGAACGCCAUUUCUUCUUAGUACCCAACCUGAAGCGACGAAGCAUCUCGACCAGAUUAGCAAUAACCUCUGGAUCGUAUCGAGACAAAUCAGUGAACUUCCAAUAAUAUUCAUUCACCAACAUCUUUCCUUGUUUCCAAUGGGUAAACUCUUGUUUCUUGCGAUCAAUGUACUCAGGAGGAAUGAACCUUUUCCAAAACAACUGCUUAAACACUUCCCAAUCCUCUACAACAUCUGGUGUCAUUUGAUAUGACUCAUGUCUCCACCAAGAUGCAGGUACCGGACCCAGAAACUAGGUAGUCAUCUCGACCCACCUAUCAGAAGGAAGAUUCCCCUGACUCUGCAUCACAAAGUCUUCUCGACAUAAUUAAGCCACUUCUCCACUCCCUCAUGUCCUUUAUUUCCUAUGAAGUGAUUCAGCUUCAGAUUAUGCACAGUCUCAAGAGGUGUCCUUUAAGGAGGACGAAGCGAAUACUGAAUGGCAUUAGCAAUAGCUUCCCCUAAUUAAGCAAUAUCAGGGAACUAGGCUCAACUGAGUGACGGGGCUCUCUACGAGGCAGCAUAAUUCUGACAGAAGACAUCACAAGAAUUAGAAUAUUCAUGAACCAUACAGGACUGCUAAACCUAGCCUCUGAUACCAAACUGACACACCCCGAUCGGAAUCGAAGCAUGCUGGCCGUCACAUGAGGGUGAUGUAACCAUGUGCACAGUGCGGAAGCAAUAAAGAUAAGAGUUAUACGAAUAAAUAAAAACCGAAAGCUACUAAAGUGCACAAAAUAACCGGAAGUGCUAAGAGUGGAAUACAAGUGUAAAUACACCUAAUCAGAACAUAGAAAGUCUAGGUGCAGUCCAGUAGGACAAGUACUAGUCAUACAGUACCAAAUGUUUUACAAAACCACUUCAUUUCUCAAAAGUUCUAACCCCUCGCCGUAAAACAUGUAUAAUUUUCCCAGAAAUAGAAUAUAAACAUAUGCAUAAAUAUAUAUAUAUAUGUAAAUAUCUCAAUUCAAAUCAUGCUUCACAUAUUCAUAACCGUAAGUAUGCCAUGCCAAGAUAUAACAGAAUAAGUAAUUCAGGUGAGAAUAAAUUCAUGGAAAAUAACAUAUUAGCCGGAACCCUGUAGAAGUCUGUACGGCUGAAUU
This 7502-nucleotide long non-coding RNA is filed under the name Malus domestica (apple). RNAcentral describes it as "long non-coding RNA (MDOM_LNC000051)". The record is from RNAcentral. Lineage: Eukaryota; Viridiplantae; Streptophyta; Magnoliopsida; Rosales; Rosaceae.